RNAcentral lists this ribosomal RNA (797 nucleotides) under Pseudoalteromonas sp. UST050418-817. RNAcentral describes it as "bacterial SSU rRNA". It matches the Rfam family "Bacterial small subunit ribosomal RNA", at positions 31 to 783 of the family's 1533-position model. The record is from RNAcentral. Lineage: Bacteria; Pseudomonadati; Pseudomonadota; Gammaproteobacteria; Alteromonadales; Pseudoalteromonadaceae.
UGACGCGGCGGCGGCCUGAACACAUCCAAGUCUNACGGUAACAGAGAGGUAGCUUGCACCUUUGCUNGACAGAGCGGCUGGACGGGUGAGUAAUGCUUGGGAACAUGCCGUUGACGGUCGGGGGACAACAGUUGGAAACAGAGCUGCUAAUACCGCAUAAUGUCUACGGAUCCAAAUGGGCGGCUUCGGUCUCUCGCCUUUAAAUUGGCCCAAUGUGAGAGAUUCAGCUAGCUUGGUGAGGUAAUGGCUCACCUAAGGCGACGAUCCCUAGCCUGGUUUUGAGAUGGAUGAUCAGCCACACUGGGUACUGAGACAUCGGCCCAGACUCCUACGGGAGGCAGCANUGGGGAAUAUUGCACAAUGGGCGCAAGCCAUGAUGCACCCAUGCCGCAGUGUGUGAAAAANGCCCUUCGAGGUUGUAAAGCACUUUCAGUCAGGAGGAAAGGUUGAGUAGUUAUAGUACCUGCUAGCUGUGACGUUACUGACAGAAGAAGCACCGGCUAACUCCGUGCCAGCAGCCGCGGUAAUACGGAGGGUGCGAGCGUUAAUCGGAAUUACUGGGCGUAAAGCGUACGCAGGCGGUUUGUUAAAGCGAGAUGUGAAAGCCCUGGGCUCAACCUGGGAACUGCAUUUCGAAACUGGGCAAAACUAAGAGUUGUGAUAGGAGGGUGGUAGAAUUUUCAGGGUGUAGCCGGUGAAAUGCGUAAGAUCUGAAGGAAUACCGAUGGCGAAAGGCCGCCACCUNGGGUCAACACUGACGCUCAUGUACGAAAAGCUUGGGGAGCAACGGGAUAGAU